GACCGUACGUCCAGUGCCGGCGCAAUAUGCCAUGCCGUAUGUCCCAUCUCAGGCCCACACGCGCCAUGCGCCAUAUGCCCGCACACUGACCCGUACGCGCAACCGCGAGGGUCGGCUCUGAUACCAUUUGUAACACCCCGUCCUCCAAAGCCGCACCGCCCAGCCCUUCCGAGGGGCGGGCACGCGUACACAUAGCACCCUGCUUACACUUUCGUCCUCGCUUCGUGUAAAAGUGGUACCAGAGCUGUGUUGACUGUAGGACGUUAGCCUAGUUAGAAAAUGGUCGUAUUUAAGGAUUAUAAUAAUCUAGUAGCCAUUCCUACCUUUCUUAAUUUAAAUCUACUUAAUUAUUCUUAAACUUGAUUUGUCUCAUCCUUAUUUCUAUUAUCUAGCUUCAUUCAAAAUUUUAUUCUAAAAAUUUCUUCUUUCUUUCUGCUAGAUGGCUCGCACCCGGUUGACCGCACGCAAGAGCACCCGUCCGCCGCGUCAUGGCAUCGCGCCGUCGCACGCCCCCGUGGAUCCUUGGGACGAGGAAGAAG
This 539-nucleotide long non-coding RNA is filed under the name Setaria viridis. RNAcentral's name for it is "long non-coding RNA (SVIR_LNC000684)". The record is from RNAcentral. Lineage: Eukaryota; Viridiplantae; Streptophyta; Magnoliopsida; Poales; Poaceae.